UACGAAGGGGGCUAGCGUUGCUCGGAAUGACUGGGCGUAAAGGGCGCGUAGGCGGAUGGCACAGUCAGAUGUGAAAUUCCUGGGCUUAACCUGGGGGCUGCAUUUGAUACGUGUUGUCUAGAGUGAGGAAGAGGGUUGUGGAAUUCCCAGUGUAGAGGUGAAAUUCGUAGAUAUUGGGAAGAACACCGGUGGCGAAGGCGGCUCACUGGCUCGUAACUGACGCUCAGGCGCGACAGCGUGGGGAUCAAACAGG
RNAcentral lists this ribosomal RNA (253 nucleotides) under uncultured bacterium. RNAcentral describes it as "partial 16S ribosomal RNA". It matches the Rfam family "Bacterial small subunit ribosomal RNA", at positions 524 to 776 of the family's 1533-position model. The record is from RNAcentral.